GUUUCCCCGGUAACAAGAGAGACCUAGAUCUAGAUCCUUGCAUCAACACCGUGUGCUUUGGGUAAACCAUAUUCUGCCUCAUUGGCUGUGCGGACAAGCUUGACCACAUUGCUUUAUGGCUCCUUAGAUGUUCCGAGCCUAUGUGAGCCCCCAGCUCACUGGGAGCCCUGCUAGGAAUCCUGGGCUCUCCUCCGCUUCAGUUAGCCCUCUGGAGGUGCAGGACAAGCCAGCGCCAUUUGCAGCUCUCUGACACACACAGGAUUUGUGCAGAUGCCAAGGAUGCAGGCGUGGCCCUCAGGCUGAGCUUCUGCUUUGCUUUCCCAACCAGCACCACUCGCCAUCCUCGGGGGCAAGCCUAAUGCUUAUCAUCGAGUUCCCCCAGCAUUCACACCCUGCAGCGAGCUUUGGAUCUUACCACAUGGAUUUGAGGAGCGCUAAAGACGCCUCAUGUUUGCAGGGAUCACACAGAACUGGGUGUUGUUUUGGCCAAUAAAUAGUCACUUAUGAUUGGAGGAAAGGAAUUUGAACAGGCAGGCUCAGAUUGGCAAUUUGAAACGGAGGUAUGGUUAAAGAUAUUUCGACAUAUCAUCUCAGGGGCAUUUGAACUUAUGUGUGUUUAAUUUAAUAACUGUUACCAAAAAAAAAAAAAAAAGCAGGAAGAAGCAGCCGCGUUAUUCACUUGGUUCAAAGACCAUUUAUGUUUCCCCAACAUUAGCUUCCUGCACUUAAACUGACAAACCUUAGAUAAACGCAAUAAUUCCUUCACAUUUCACCAUGAUCAGCUCUUUACUUCUAACAGCAACAAUUGUGUUUCUCAUUAACUUGUCCACUGCUGAUCCUUGGAGUGUUUGAAUCUUUAAAAAAAAGUUGUAAGAGACUGUCAUAGCUACUGUAAGAGAAUAAUGAAGUAAAGAAAUGAGCUAUUGUGGUUUUCUCCUGGAGAUAAGGUGGCUGCUUGGGAUUUGAGCUGAAAUUCACCGCAUCUCUCUCCUUUGCUCAUGGUGUGUAAUUUCGCAUAAGCUAUUUGUAGUUGAUGCUUCCUGCUUGGGUAUGAGAAGGGUGGGGUAGAGCAAGCUAGUAGGAAGGUCGAGAGAAGGCUAUGGCUAGGGAAAGUCUGGGGUGUGAACAAAUGAAACCAGGGUUUAAGAACUAGGGCUAUGGAAUGUUUCACAUCACGUUGGCAUCCUAUACCGACCAGAGGUUAGGGUAAGGCGCCCAUGGAGAAUUUAGUUUCACACCAGAAGAGAACAUUUCACUCCUUGAAUGUUUUAGGCAGCGCCUGGUUAUGUUCCUCUUCUUUCCUAGACCCCCAGGUGUGUCUGCAUAAUGUG
This 1331-nucleotide small RNA is filed under the name Rattus norvegicus (Norway rat). Its description in RNAcentral is "uncharacterized LOC102547303". Lineage: Eukaryota; Metazoa; Chordata; Mammalia; Rodentia; Muridae. The record is from RNAcentral.